CCGAGGGGCUGGCGAACACCCGCUCCAAGGUGUACUUCUCCCCGCGGCUCUGCUACCUGAGGGUGCACAUCAUCGAGGCCCAGGACCUCGUCCCCGCCGACAAGAGCCGCCCGCCGGAGCCCUACCUGAAGAUGCAGCUGGGAAACCAGCUGCGCCGCACGCGGCCCUCGCCGGCGCGCUCCGUCAACGCCGUCUGGAACGAGGAGCACAUGUUCAUCGCCGCCGAGCCCUUCGACGAGCCGCUGGUGAUCACCGUCGAAGACCGGCUCGCCGGCGGCAAGGAGGAGACCAUCGGGAAGCUGGUGGUGCCACUGGAGCUCGCCCAGAAGCGGUUCGACCACAAGGUCUUCGAGCCCAAGUGGUUCAGCCUGGACAAGGCCUCCUCCUCCGGGGACGGGGAGAAGAAGGACGAGGCCAAGUUCGCCAGCAAGAUCCUGCUCCGGCUGUACCUGGACAUGGGGUACCACGUGCUGGACGAGUCGACCCACUACAGCAGCGACUUCCGUCCGUACUACCGGAACCUGUGGAAGCAGUCCGUGGGGGUCCUGGAGGUGGGCAUCAUCGGCGCCCGCAACCUCGCGCCCAUGAAGGCCAAGGACGGAAGCAACCGCACCACCGACGCCUACUGCGUCGCCAAGUACGGGCCCAAGUGGGUCCGCACCCGCACCCUGCUGGACACGGCGACGCCGAGCUGGAACGAGCAGUACACGUGGGAGGUCUACGACCCCUGCACCGUCAUCACCGUGGGGGUCUUCGACAACUGCCAAGUCGGCGGCGGCAAGGAGGGCGAGGCCCCUGACCAGCGCAUCGGGAAGGUGCGCAUCCGGCUGUCCACCCUGGAGGCGAACCGGGUGUACACCCACUACCACCCGCUGCUGGUGCUGCAGUCCUCCGGGCUCAAGAAGGCCGGCGAGCUCCACCUGGCCAUCCGCUUCACCUGCACGGCGUG
This 949-nucleotide long non-coding RNA is filed under the name Spirodela polyrhiza (greater duckweed). Its description in RNAcentral is "long non-coding RNA (SPOL_LNC002654)". The record is from RNAcentral. Lineage: Eukaryota; Viridiplantae; Streptophyta; Magnoliopsida; Alismatales; Araceae.